Molecule: ribosomal RNA, 908 nt
Filed under: Penicillium javanicum
Lineage: Eukaryota; Fungi; Ascomycota; Eurotiomycetes; Eurotiales; Aspergillaceae
Also listed under: 1 other name
Description: partial large subunit ribosomal RNA
Rfam family: Eukaryotic large subunit ribosomal RNA
Source: RNAcentral
GCAUAUCAAUAAGCGGAGGAAAAGAAACCAACAGGGAUUGCCUCAGUAACGGCGAGUGAAGCGGCAAGAGCUCAAAUUUGAAAGCUGGCUCCUUCGGGGUCCGCAUUGUAAUUUGCAGAGGAUGCUUCGGGAGCGGCCCCCAUCUAAGUGCCCUGGAACGGGCCGUCAUAGAGGGUGAGAAUCCCGUCUGGGAUGGGGUGCCCGCGCCCGUGUGAAGCUCCUUCGACGAGUCGAGUUGUUUGGGAAUGCAGCUCUAAAUGGGUGGUAAAUUUCAUCUAAAGCUAAAUACUGGCCGGAGACCGAUAGCGCACAAGUAGAGUGAUCGAAAGAUGAAAAGCACUUUGAAAAGAGAGUUAAACAGCACGUGAAAUUGUUGAAAGGGAAGCGCUUGCGACCAGACUCGCUCGCGGGGUUCAGCCGGCCUUCGGGCCGGUGUACUUCCCCGCGGGCGGGCCAGCGUCGGUUUGGGCGGCCGGUCAAAGGCCCUCGGAAUGUAACGCCCCCCGGGGCGUCUUAUAGCCGAGGGUGCCAUGCGGCCAGCCCGGACCGAGGAACGCGCUUCGGCUCGGACGCUGGCAUAAUGGUCGUAAGCGACCCGUCUUGAAACACGGACCAAGGAGUCUAACAUCUACGCGAGUGUUCGGGUGUCAAACCCGUGCGCGCAGUGAAAGCGAACGGAGGUGGGAACCCCUCGGGGUGCACCAUCGACCGAUCCUGAUGUCUUCGGAUGGAUUUGAGUAAGAGCGUAGCUGUUGGGACCCGAAAGAUGGUGAACUAUGCCUGAAUAGGGCGAAGCCAGAGGAAACUCUGGUGGAGGCUCGCAGCGGUUCUGACGUGCAAAUCGAUCGUCAAAUUUGGGUAUAGGGGCGAAAGACUAAUCGAACCAUCUAGUAGCUGGUUCCUGCCGA